Molecule: long non-coding RNA, 1140 nt
Organism: Gasterosteus aculeatus aculeatus (three-spined stickleback)
Lineage: Eukaryota; Metazoa; Chordata; Actinopteri; Perciformes; Gasterosteidae
Source: Ensembl
GUCUGGAGCUAUGAGACACGGUCAGACACUGAGAGGCGUGGCUUCUUAUCAAACCCCACAGUUCCACUCACCAUACGGACCAACUGUUGUUACUCCCUAUGAUUACAUCUCUGAGCCUGGCCCGUCACCACUUCUUCAUGAUGCCCUACAGAACCGUUCUCAUUUGCAGAAUGUCUCUUCUCUAAGAUCUCCUAUGAUGCAACGGCGUAACCCUUGUGCACCAGCUGGCCCUCAGCUCCAUAAUGCUCUUCAACAGAACCCAAACUUACGACAGGCGUCUUAUCGGACACCUGUACAACUUAGACGGUACCCAUAUGGACCCCCGCCAUCCCCUUCACCAAUGUUGGGAAGUGCCCUUCAAAACCGACAGUUAAUGCAGGCAUCGUACCGGCUGCCAGAUGGAACCUUGGUGUCACCAUAUGCAGCUUCACCUUCCUCCCCGUUGCUCGGACGUGCCUUGCAAAACCAACAAGUCCGUGGAGCCACGUACACUUUGCCCGAUGGAUCAGUUAUCAGGGACCCGCGUAUUCCCCAGAAUCACAUGUCUCCUAACCUCUCAAGAGCCCUUCAGAACCAGAGUGUCAGGACUGCUGCAUAUACUCUCCCCGAUGGCACCAUUGUAGACCCGAGACAACAACAACCCAUUUCCCCAAACCUGGCCAAGGCACUCGGCAACCCAGCUCUGCGUGAAGCCUCCUAUUCUCUCCCCGAUGGUACCAUUGUGAUUGACCCCAAGAAACCAAAGUCCCCAAACCUUUCAGCAGCUCUUCAGAACCCUUACCUGAAAGUUGCAUCUUACACCCUGCCUGAUGGUACAAUCAUCAUUGAUCCACGGAAACCGGUCUCUCCAAACCUCUCCGCCGCCCUUCAAAAGUCUGCCCUGCGGAACGCCUCCUUCACACUACCAGAAGGGGUCCAUGACCCCAAUAGACCCCUUUCACCCAACCUGGCUAAGGCCCUUGGUAAUCCAGCCCUGAAAGGAGCUUCAUACACCCUCCCAGAUGGAACUAUUAUUGUAGACCCGAGGAAACCAAAGAGUCCAAGCCUGGCUGCUGCACUACAGAAUCCUUACCUUAAGGGUGUGUCCUUAACCCUGCCUGAUGGAACAAUCAUCAUUGACCCACGAAAACCAGUUGGCCC